This 195-nucleotide small nuclear RNA is filed under the name Macleaya cordata. RNAcentral's name for it is "U2 spliceosomal RNA". It matches the Rfam family "U2 spliceosomal RNA". From Rfam's summary of the family: U2 is a small nuclear RNA (snRNA) component of the spliceosome (involved in pre-mRNA splicing). Complementary binding between U2 snRNA (in an area lying towards the 5' end but 3' to hairpin I) and the branchpoint sequence (BPS) of the intron results the bulging out of an unpaired adenosine, on the BPS, which initiates a nucleophilic attack at the intronic 5' splice site, thus starting the first of two transesterification reactions that mediate splicing. Lineage: Eukaryota; Viridiplantae; Streptophyta; Magnoliopsida; Ranunculales; Papaveraceae. The record is from Rfam by way of RNAcentral.
AUACCUUUCUCGGCCUUUUGGCUAAGAUCAAGUGUAGUAUCUGUUCUUAUCAGUUUAAUAUCUGAUACGUGGACCAUCGGUCCACAUAAUAUUAAAUUAAUUUUUUCUUGGGGAAGGGCCCAUAACAGUUCUUGCUAUUGGGGUCUUCAAGCGUCGCUCAUGCGUUGCACUACUGCAUGACAUGAUCUCCAACGG